RNAcentral lists this ribosomal RNA (1845 nucleotides) under Triticum aestivum (bread wheat). RNAcentral describes it as "partial small subunit ribosomal RNA". The record is from RNAcentral. Lineage: Eukaryota; Viridiplantae; Streptophyta; Magnoliopsida; Poales; Poaceae.
AUGGCGGUAUGCGCGAUCGCAACCAUGCACGCCGUCGUGCACCACCACCCCCCUAGCCUCCACGUCCCGCCGCCGCGCCGGCUCGCCCGCGCGGCCGUCCGCGGCACGGCCGGCGCCACCACCGCGGCGGCGACGGAGCCAGACACGUUGUCGAAGGCGUUCUGGGACUACAACCUCCUCUUCCGGUCGCAGCGCGCCGAGACGUCCGCCCCCGUGCAGCUCCGCGUCACCGAGGGCGCCAUCCCGCCGGACUUCCCGGCCGGCACCUACUACCUCGCCGGGCCCGGCAUGUUCUCCGACGACCACGGCUCCAUCGUCCACCCGCUCGACGGCCACGGCUACCUCCGCUCCUUCCGCUUCCACCCCGACGACGGCGUGCACUACGCCGCACGGUACGUGGAGACGGCGGCGAAGACGGAGGAGAAGGGUGACGGCGCGUCGUGGAGGUUCACGCACCGGGGCCCCUUCUCGGUGCUGCAGGGCGGGCACAGGGUGGGCAACGUGAAGGUGAUGAAGAACGUGGCCAACACCAGCGUGCUCUGGUGGGGCGGCCGGCUGCUCUGCCUCUGGGAGGGCGGCAUGCCGUACGAGCUCGACCCCAAGACGCUGGAGACCGUCGGCCCGUUCGACCUGCUCGCGCUCGGCGACCGCGCCGACGGGGCGGCCCCCGCUCGGCGCCGCCUGGGGCACCGGCGGCGGCCCUGGCUGGCGGAGGCCGGGCUCGACGUGGCCACCCGCUUGCUGCGCCCCGUGCUCAGUGGCGUGUUCAGCAUGCCGCCCAAGCGGCUGCUGGCGCACUACAAGGUCGACCCCAAGCGCAACCGGCUGCUCAUGGUGGCCUGCAACGCCGAGGACAUGCUCCUCCCGCGCGCCAACUUCACUUUCUACGAGUUCGACGCCGGAUUCAGGCUGGUGCAGAAGCGAGAGUUCGUGCUGCCGGCGCACCUCAUGAUCCACGACUGGGCCUUCACCGACUCCCACUACGUCGUCCUCGGCAACAGGAUCAGGCUCGACAUCCCGGGGUCGAUGCUGGCCAUGACGGGCACGCACCCCAUGAUCGCGGCGCUGACGCUGGACCCGGGCAGGCAGACCACGCCGGUCUACCUGCUGCCGCGCUCCACGGAGGCCGUGGCCAGCGGCCGCGACUGGACCGUGCCCGUCGAGGCGCCGUCGCAGAUGUGGUCGCUGCACGUCGGCAACGCCUUCGAGGAGGACAACGCCCGCGGCGGCCUCGACCUGCACCUGCACAUGUCGGGCUGCUCCUACGACUGGUUCCAUUUCCACAGGAUGUUCGGUUACAACUGGAAGAACAAGAAGCUGGACCCUGCCUUCAUGAACGCGGUAAAGACCAAGGAAAUGCUGCCUCGCCUCGUAAAGGUGGCAAUUGAGCUCGACAAGAGAGGAGGAGCAUACCGGAGAUGCUCCGUGAAGAGACUGUCUGAUCAGUGGAACAGACCGGCAGACUUCCCCGCGAUAAAUCCAGGCUAUGCCAACAAGAGGAAUAGGUUCAUUUACGCGGGCGCUGCCUCCGGUUCUCGCAAACUACUCCCAUAUUUUCCGUUUGACAGCGUGGUGAAGGUCGAUGUCUCGAAUGGGUCGGCGAGGCGCUGGUCUUCCGAGGGGCGCAAGUUCGUCGGGGAGCCGGUCUUCAUCCCCACCGGCGGUGGGGAGGAGGAUCACGGCUAUGUUCUUCUGGUAGAGUAUGCGGUAUCCGAGGACAGAUGUAACCUGGUGGUGUUGGAUGCAAGGAAGAUAGGGAAAAGAGGUGCACUUGUGGCAAAACUUGAAGUACCAAAGCACCUCACCUUCCCAAUGGGAUUCCAUGGGUUUUGGGCUGAUAAAUGA